AUUGAACGCUGGCGGCGUGCCUAAUACAUGCAAGUCGAGCGAACUGAUUAGAAGCUUGCUUCUAUGACGUUAGCGGCGGACGGGUGAGUAACACGUGGGCAACCUGCCUGUAAGACUGGGAUAACUCCGGGAAACCGGAGCUAAUACCGGAUAACAUUUUCUCUUGCAUAAGAGAAAAUUGAAAGAUGGUUUCGGCUAUCACUUACAGAUGGGCCCGCGGUGCAUUAGCUAGUUGGUGAGGUAACGGCUCACCAAGGCAACGAUGCAUAGCCGACCUGAGAGGGCGAUCGGCCACACUGGGACUGAGACACGGCCCAGACUCCUACGGGAGGCAGCAGUAGGGAAUCUUCCGCAAUGGACGAAAGUCUGACGGAGCAACGCCGCGUGAGUGAUGAAGGCUUUCGGGUCGUAAAACUCUGUUGUUAGGGAAGAACAAGUACAAGAGUAACUGCUUGUACCUUGACGGUACCUAACCAGAAAGCCACGGCUAACUACGUGCCAGCAGCCGCGGUAA
RNAcentral lists this ribosomal RNA (514 nucleotides) under uncultured bacterium. RNAcentral describes it as "partial 16S ribosomal RNA". It matches the Rfam family "Bacterial small subunit ribosomal RNA", at positions 30 to 523 of the family's 1533-position model. The record is from RNAcentral.